GAUGAACGCUAGCGGCAGGCUUAACACAUGCCAGUCGAGGGGUAUUUAUCUUCGGAUAGAGAGACCGGCGCACGGGUGCGUAACGCGUAUGCAAUCUACCUUUUACAGAGGGAUAGCCCAGAGAAAUUUGGAUUAAUACCUCAUAGUAUAUAGACUCGGCAUCGAGAUUAUAUUAAAGUCACAACGGUAAAAGAUGAGCAUGCGUCCCAUUAGCUAGUUGGUAAGGUAACGGCUUACCAAGGCUACGAUGGGUAGGGGUCCUGAGAGGGAGAUCCCCCGCACUGGUACUGAGACACGGACCAGACUCCUACGGGAGGCAGCAGUGAGGAAUAUUGGACAAUGGGCGCAAGCCUGAUCCAGCCAUGCCGCGUGCAGGAUGACGGUCCUAUGGAUUGUAAACUGCUUUUAUACGAGAAGAAACACUGCUACGUGUAGCAGCUUGACGGUAUCGUAAGAAUAAGGAUCGGCUAACUCCGUG
This 478-nucleotide ribosomal RNA is filed under the name uncultured bacterium. RNAcentral describes it as "partial 16S ribosomal RNA". It matches the Rfam family "Bacterial small subunit ribosomal RNA", at positions 28 to 507 of the family's 1533-position model. The record is from RNAcentral.